UUUUUUUUUUUUUUUUGACACUUUUAAUUUUAUUUUCCUUUUGUUUUAUAUUUAGCGUACCUAAAUGAGCUUUAGCUGUUUAAAGUGUAAAAAUGUUGUCAUAAAUGAAUAAUGAAGCACAUGAGUGUAGUGUGUUAUGUGUAGAUGGAUAAUUGUAAUUUGGAUUGUAAUUAAAAUAGUCUUUUUUUCUUGCUUAAUGGGAUUUUUUUUUAAUAAAAAUUCACUGACUUCUGUAGUUUAUUUGUUUACUGUUAGCUUGAAUUAAUGAAAGGCUUUCCUCCUUUUCUGUGUUUGUUUUUCUUUGGUUAUUUUAAUUUUUGGUUGGUAAUGGACAAAAUCAAGAACAGUCUCUUCAGUCUUCCCAGCCACCUGAGCUCACGCAGGGCUUGAGGUUUGAGAAGUCCCUUUCGUUAUUGGGAAGCUAUUGGCCCUAAAUGCUUCUAGUGUUCCUAUAACCAAAAAACUGUGCCUGAUGAAUGUUACCGUGACUCCUUCUAUUCUGGUAUAGAUAGAGAAGUGUGCUAAAUUAUAUAUAUAUAUAUAUUUCGAAUGGUGUAAAUCCCAAGUUCUCCACAUUGUGCAUUUCUUGGAAAGUAUGGAAUUGCAGGACUGCUGUCAAGCCAUAGAAGGUAAUUCCUGCCUCUUGUUUAUAUUAAGCUUUAGGAUUUGUGAAACCUACUAAGCUGCCAAAGAAUGAACACGCUUCCUUUUUAGUAGUCAUUUUCUUUCUUCCUUUAAUCUCUUUCUAAUUCUUGAAGCAUAUCGACAAGUUUUAAUUGGAUGAGUGUGAAAAUGAAAUUUGCUCUUUAGUGAACUGUAAGUCUGUAACCAAUUCUUAUUUGUUAAGGGAAAUGCUAUUUUGUAGUCUUAUUAUGUGUUGUAACACCCCCUGAAUAUCCGCCAUCAAUUUGAAAUCAACAAUAUUAACUCAUCAAAAAACUGUGUUAAUCAAUCUCUUGGUCUUCUCUCCCUAGACUGAUUCUUUUCUUUCUCUCUUCCUCUCUUCCUCUCUUAUGAUUUGUCCUAUGUCGACCCCUUCCAAGUCAAUAUUCCUGCUUAGCUCAGUUGAUCACCCAUCAUUUUUUCCACUUUACUAUUCCUAUCACUUUUAAAUCUAUUACCACUGUGUAUUUUAUAUUAGAUCUCAAUUACCUUUCAUCAUGUUUUCCUGUUCAUGAAAAUUCAAAAAGUUUCAACUUUGGACACAUGUAAAUGGUACUUGUAAAUGAGUAGAUUAGUCAUGCAGCUAUUUUGUCCUAAUUUUUUUAUCUAAAAUUAUCUUUAUUUUUGUGAUCUGAAUUUGCAGAGUGAAGUACUGUUCUUCGAAUUAUAUGCUUCAUAUGGAUAUACUAUUAGGCACCCCUCUAGAACUUAUUCAUGGUCCUGAGCUUUACAUGACCAGCUUAUAUGCUGAUUAUCGCUUCUCCAUACCUAUUCCUAAGAGUUGGAUGCGCAUUUUAUCUUCUGAAACUUCUUCAGUCCUGUUCAGCUUUAUCGGAAAAUUGUAAAACGCAUUGAUGACCUUGGGUUCUUCGGACCAUGUAGAAAGUUCUUUUUCUAUUGCUAAGAUACCUUUUUCUUGUUCAUGAAAAUAUAUCUAGUACAGACAUAUAAUUUGUAGUCUGAAGCAAAUUUGUCAAUGAUAACAGGUAGUAUAUCAAUGGAUCCUCGAGGUAACUCUGAUACUCGAAUCAUGUUCUAUUGGCACUAGUCAAGCAUCAAUGUGGCUAGCUGCCAGAGCUGGUUUGUGGUAGCAAUAACAGGAGUGGGUACAACUUGCUUUGAUAAGUAGCCUUGAAUUAGCCGAUGGAACUCUGAGCUCGAUGGCAGUGGGCUUUAGUGUCGCUAAUGGAGUUAAAAAGAAAAUUGAAUGAGUUGCGUAUGCGUUUCAGUCACCAGGAGUACUUAUCUGGUUAAGAAAUGGAAGGGUAGAUACUAGAUAUCAUUCUAGUCCAUUAUAUGAAUAGAUGGAGGGUUCCAGUUUACUGGGAGGCUGCCAUGCGGAAGAAUGAAAUUUUCAGUAAAUUAAUCUAGCAAAGCUUUUAUUGCAAACACUGGGCUAAGUAUUGUCUUUAUGGACCCAUAUGCAUAGUUGAUAGUUCUAUCUAUUCACCGGAUUCAAGUAGUUUUUAGUUCCCUUUUUGAUCGAUUGCCGUGUGAAACAUUCCAAAGCAUCUAGUGGCAAUUUACUUGGACAUAUAAUUUGAGAUUGCUUUCGCUAAACAUUCUUAGGAUGGUGCAUACUGUUCCUGAACUGUGUUAAGAGGAACUCGCAAUAGUGAACCCUUCAUGGAAAAUUCGUUGUUUUUUAUACAGACAAUUGUGAUUUCAGAAAAUCUCUUAAGAUGGGAAUUAUUGAUGGAGCAACAGCUUCA
Molecule: unclassified non-coding RNA, 2375 nt
Filed under: Hevea brasiliensis (rubber tree)
Lineage: Eukaryota; Viridiplantae; Streptophyta; Magnoliopsida; Malpighiales; Euphorbiaceae
Source: RNAcentral